Molecule: long non-coding RNA, 2544 nt
Organism: Pan troglodytes (chimpanzee)
Lineage: Eukaryota; Metazoa; Chordata; Mammalia; Primates; Hominidae
Exons: 3
Source: RefSeq, a predicted model, not a curated record
UGUGCAACCUGCUCGGGUGCCCUUCCACGUUAUGGAAGGUUUGUUCUUUUUGUUCUUUGCCUUAAAUGCUGCUACUGCUGCUCGGUCUUUGGGUCCACACUGCCUUUAUGAGCUGUAACACCACGAAGGUCUGCAGCUUCACUCCUGAAGCCAGUGAGACCACAAACCCACUGGGAGGAACAAACAACUCCAGACGCGCCCCCUUAAGAGCUGUAACAUUCACCAGGAAGGUCUGCAGCUUAGAGCGAGACCACAAACCCCCCAGAAGGAAGAAACUCCGAACACAUCCGAACAUCAGAAGGAACAAACUCCGGACACGCCACCUUUAAGAACUGUAACAUUCACUGCGAGGGUCCGCGGCUUCAUUCUUGAAGUCGGUGAGACCGAGAACCCACCAAUUCUGGACACAGAACGAAUCAACCAAGGAUGGAAAGCCCCUCUUUGAGCCGAAGGACUAGAAGAACAAAAGACUCAGCCCCAAGGUUAUCCGUGCUCACCUAGCAACACUGGCUGUGGCUGAGGAGUGGUGUUCCUCUACACAGAGCCUGGGCUUUCCUCCAGACUUGCUGCCCUCAUGCAAGCCUCCUGCCUGAUGUCACCUGCCUGAUGCUGGUGCUUUUCGACUGCUGUAUCUGUGAAGGGAGAAGCAUUUGCUGCUGAAAGAGUUAUUGUAUUUGCUAUUGGCAACACUUGAGAGUAAAGUUUAGCAGAGUAAGAGAGACAUAAAUCUAGAGGUUUGGGGUAGUUUCUUUUUAAAGGAUGUAUCAUUUGUUUAUUUUAAAAAGUCUAAGAAGAAAAGAGGAAAGCAGCGGACACUUUUGAGAGCAUUUGAGGGUUAGAAAAGAUUUACAUCUUAGGAAUGAGGAUCCUUGAGCUUGUUUCCAAGUUCAUGGUGUUUUGAGUGUGGCAAGACUUUUUAAUACUAUGAAUGAUGCCCAUGGAAUCUUCUGUAACACUCAAUUGACGGGAAUCCUGAGGUACUAUAUAUCCCAGAUCUUAAUUUUCCCAAACACAUUGGAGUAUGAAGGACACGUUGUGAAUGACAGAAUUCUGUCAUUAUAUUUAAUUUACUAUCAAAUUUACCUACUAAAGUAGAGGACUGAUUAAGAUAAAUACAGACAAUGAUCUCAUCCUGGAAGGAAUUACUAUGGAAAAAGAAUUUGACAAGAAGAUCCCCUUUUUAUCUGAACAAUAAAACAUAUCAAUUUCUCCAAGCUCUUAUGUUUGGCCAGUUCAUCUGGUGAGAGAAUGGAAAAAGGGAGACAUUCAUCAAUUUUACAACCUGCAGUCCAUCAUCAGACCAAAUCAGGAAGAAGAGUGCAUGGAGAAAACAUUUGGGAAGAAAAGGUAUUUUCAAAACAUCUGGAGCAAGAGACAAAUCCCAUCAGCUCAGUUCCAACAAUAUAUGCAGGUAAGAUUUUGUUCUUGGAAAGUCUUCAAUUGCCCCCAUUAGCUCUAAACCUUUUAGCUCUGGCCAGCAGUAGCAAAUUAGAAUUAAUAAUGUGGCUUUUGAAAAAGCAACAGUGAUGUAAUUAUUGUAUCAGCAUAAGGUUAAUGAUUUUUAAAAUGGAAAGGCUAGUGAUGUGCUUAGAAUUUUUUAAAAAUCAAAGAAAUUAUCUCAGUUGAAUUUGCCUCCUUCUGCUUGUUCUUCAGGUAAUAAGGUUGAGUGAAGAGUUAACAUUGCUGCAAGUAGGAUUAUCUGCAAAAACAUUAAGCCAGUCUUGACUUGCUUAACAGAUAAAAUUCAGCCAGAAAAUGAAAAUAGGGGGUGAAUGUUUGUGUGGGAAACACAGGAGCCUAGUUUAGCACUCUACCCAAAUGCGUUGAAGAUGCUGCUGAAUGUUUCAUUUGGGAUACCAAUCUAGCUACAAGUAUCUGGAAGAAUCAAAAAAUGUUUUCCAAAGUUAGUACAUAGGCGUGAAAACCAAAGAGCAGACCCAAUGCACAACUCAGUUCCGCUAAAGGCCUGUGAGACCUCUCAUGGUUGAAUACUCAGAAAUUUUUAAGUAACUAGUAUUCUCCAUAAACAAAAAUAAAGAUGGUAAUAUAAUACACCAUUUUUCUAACAAGAUUCUACUGGUUAGAAAAAUGGUGUAAAUGUAUAGGCUAGUCUAGGCAUUGAUGGACUGCAGCAGGUAUUCAGAACACUGGUGAUGUUUGAGAGGCAUAUUGGGGAACAUGGCAGCAGAUUUCUGGACAUGUCUCCCAUUUCUAUCUCUUAUUAAAUGUAUGACCAUGAGUACUUUACUUUACUUUUUGGUGGCUCAGUGUUCUCAUUGGUAAAAUAUGGCUAGAAAUAGUACUUUGUGGGUUAUUUGGAGGGACAAAGGUGAUAACAUAUUUAAAAUGCUUAGUCCUGUGCAUUACCCAUUCAUAUAUUCAGCAGACAAUAUGCUGAAAGUGCUCAUUAAAUAUUAGAUAUUGGCUGGGCGUGAUGGCUCACACCUGUAAUCCCAGUGCUUUGGGAGGCCAAGGCGAGUGGAUCACUUGAAGUCAGGAGUUCGAAACCAGCCUGGCGAACAUGGUGAAACCCCUGUCUCUACU